GGCUUUUUUUUAUCUUUGUUUUGCAGUACUUAAAUAACUGCCUUUAAAAAGGAGCUGGAUUCAGCCGUGGUACUGUGCCUACCCAAAUGACUUUAAGGAGUGAUGAGCAAUAAAGGUUGCUUGCAUUGUACUUCAGUUUUUUUAUGUGUUGGUGGAGUUGAAAGAACAGGCAGGUUUAUUUCAACUGAUGGGUUUAUCUUAGAUCUAGGUUUAUUUUCGUUGUAAAAAUACUCUUAUCUCCAUGCUUGUGCUACGUGCACAAAAGGGAAGCAGGACGUUGUUCAUGCUGUAGGGGGCACUCCUUCCCAAGGUAAAGCUGAGUUGCUCAUGACGAAAACCGUGCCUAUGCAAGGGGCUGCCUAUAAAACAAAGGAGAAAGUUUUGCAAAGUGGGUGCCUGGGAAUAACUGCGUGCAGGAGAACAUCAAGACAAAGGUCUUGGUUGUGUUAAUUAUGCCUAAAAAUAAAAGCCAAGUUCAUGGUUGAAUGGAAGUCCAGCUAAUUUUGUCCACCUGCUCCUGGAAUUACACCACAUCCAAUUGAUGGGAGGUGUGCUUACUUUCAUAAUAGUGACCCUCCCUUCUUUCCUUAGCAAAAAAUGAUGGGGGAAAGUGACUUUGUCUAGCAUGGGAUAUCAGAUGUACAGGGCUGUAGGUUAUAAUUUGCAAAAGACUUCAAGUUCAUUAAGCAACCUUAUUUCUUUCAAAAAUACAAAUUAAAUCUGAAUUAGAAUACUGUUUGCAGUUAAAAUACUGCUAGGUUAGUUAUAACAUCUGGACAGAUACACACCAUGUAGUUUAUUUAGGAAUGUGGAACCUAUACAUAAAAAUGAAUUUUGAAUGUUUUUUUAUCUACUCUGGAAAUUAAUUGAGGAGAUAGAAGUUGCACAGCUCUACAGUACACAGGCCUUUAACGAGUUCCUGGAAAGAAAGGGCUACCAAAAGCCUCAGUUCCUUCUGAAAAUGCUGGCUGGGACAAAUUAUAAUGGAGCUCAAGAGAAGAUGUUCAAAGCUUUUAAGAAGUGAUGUCAAAAGAGAUAAGAUGAAAGAAGCUUCUUCCACUACUGUUAACACAGAUUUCUAAAUUCUCUGUGAAUGAACAGAAGCUAAUAGCUGAACUGUUCCUUAAAUGUUCUUACAUUAGAGUACACAUAAAAAUAGUUUUGAGUUCUUUUCUGAAGUAGACAAGUAGUUUGAAGAUCAGUCUCGGACCACCAAAUUAUUGGCAUAAGCCAUUUAGAUAUCUUAGCAGUUCUUAGACUGGCUGAAAGGCACUCCUGUGCUCUAACAUACUGACUUAAUCAAAAGUCCUGGAUUACAGUCAGCUUACUAAUUUUUAAGCAUCCACAUUGUACUUACUGCUUCAAUCUAUAUUACCAGCAUCCAUUUGAGAAUGAACUGUAAUUUUAGCUCUGUUUCAGAGAUGAACAAAGGACAAGGUGUUGGCAUCUGUUCAUUUCAUUAGGGGUCUCAUAUUUUAAAUGACUUUGCAGCAUUGGAUGUACAAGCUGAGUCACUUGCUGGAUGGAUACCAAUGAGAGAGGCUCCAUACCACAGGCUUUCCAUUGCAUGUGUGACACUUUAUAGGUUAGAUGAAGCUUAGAGGCUCAGAGCUCUAGCAACUGAGGCUUCAGCUGAUGCCUGCUCAUCUGCCAAGUAUUGUGGCAGUUAAAUAGGAGUCCCCAUUCACUCACUCACUCACUCACUCACUCACUCACUCAACUGUGAUCGUUGCUGUAUCUGACCCCAAGCUGUACCCAACACAGUCACAGGUAGUCUGCAGCAAGGCACAGAGCUGAAUUUGAUCUCCCAAACCAACCUGCUCUAGUGACCAUCUGCCCCACUCAGUUGGGAUUUGGCACACAUAUCAAAUCUGAAUGAUUUCAAACUUGUUUACUUCCAUCUUACUUGGAAUUGGAAAUUUCACAUUUAGACAGUAUGUUCCAGAAUGGUGGCAGAGCCACAAUGACUGCUGGCUUUGCAUAGCUGUAACUGUAAGGGCUGCAUAGGCAGAUGAAGUGCAGCCUUAUCAUGACCUAUAAACAUCACAGCACUCCUACAUGGUGGAGAAACAUCUGCUUCAGAACUUUCAAGAUCAACAUUUUUGUGAGACAAAUUUCAACAAGCUGAGUACCUAAUCAAUAUAUUCUUCUAGAUAGCCAUGUCAGUACACUGCAGAAGUCUUUUUGCCUCAAUUUGUGUUUCUUAUUUCUUUGAAUUGGCUGUCUUUUGCAGGAAGGAGGGGAGAGGCUGAUAUUCUUCUAAGUUCAUUUUACCUAACUCUGGUGUAUUGUUAAUUUAGUCUGAUUUCCUCUUUUGAUUUCCAAAACCAGGCCUCUAUAAGAUUACUUUAUCUUUAGGAAAGCUAUCUUCCAUACAAAUUGAGGAGCCCCCAGCAUACCCAAAAGGUAGAUUUUCCCAUGCAGUGCAGGGAAAUUCUUACCUGCAGAUCAUAAUGUUCAGAGGGAUUUUAGGUAUUAUUUGGAUUUUUAAAUCCCAGUCCUGCACAGAAUCAGGGUGCCUUGAAGCUGCACUAUUAUGCAGAGUUGAUGCUAAAAUAAUAAAUCAGUUCAACCUCUAUCUGUCAAAGGUUCUGCAAGUGCAUCGUAAUAUUUCAUUCUCAGUAUUUCAGGAGCCUUCACCUGCAAGUAAAGCAGUUGCUGAGGGAGAGCUUCUUGUGAAGUAGGCAAUAAUAUAAUUAUAGACUUGGCUUUUUCUUAUGAACACCACUGGAACAUAACAGACUGCUGCAGAAAGAAGUUUAUUUAAUGUUGAAUUAACAAAGCUAAAACUGUGACGAUAAUGUUUUUUGCUGUUUUGUUGUUAUUGCAGUAAUUUGUGCAGCCACAUAAGGGCUUUUCAGAACAACCUAAGCCUUUGCAAUCAACUUCUGCCAACACUGAGGAACAUAUUAGCCAUCCCAAAUACAACAAUGGACACCUUGUGCACUCACAUACAUUAUGUCUAUGGACAAUACCAAAUGUAAUGCAUUUAAAUGCAGUGGACAAUACAGAAUCAGCUCCUUUAUUUGGUGGAGGUUUCCUAUAUGAACAGAAAAAAAGACAGUUGUAGAAAAGGGAAUGAAUCUCUAACUAGGGCCCCUGCUCUUGCAAGUGAGGCAGCUUCAUAGGAUUUUUUUUUUUUUUUCCAGCUCUAAAUG
Molecule: non-coding RNA, 3158 nt
Organism: Phasianus colchicus (ring-necked pheasant)
Lineage: Eukaryota; Metazoa; Chordata; Aves; Galliformes; Phasianidae
Source: RefSeq, a predicted model, not a curated record